GUCAUUAUUCUUCAGUCCGUUGUCCUUUGUGAUAACAUAUCUGUACUUAUACGUUUGUUCAUUUAGGAUAGACAAGGCUCAAAGCCACGCUAGCUGACAUUAGCCGGAUAUGUUAUAACAAAGGACAACAGACUGAAGAAUAAUGA
This 146-nucleotide microRNA precursor is filed under the name Oryza sativa (Asian cultivated rice). RNAcentral describes it as "miR5513 stem-loop (osa-MIR5513)". Lineage: Eukaryota; Viridiplantae; Streptophyta; Magnoliopsida; Poales; Poaceae. The record is from miRBase by way of RNAcentral.